This 431-nucleotide ribosomal RNA is filed under the name uncultured bacterium. RNAcentral's name for it is "bacterial SSU rRNA". It matches the Rfam family "Bacterial small subunit ribosomal RNA", at positions 354 to 776 of the family's 1533-position model. The record is from RNAcentral.
GUCGGGAAUCUUGCACAAUGGGCGAAAGCCUGAUGCAGCAACGCCGCGUGAGGGAUGAAGGCCCUCGGGUCGUAAACCUCUGUCGGGAGGGAAGAACGCGCUUCGGACCAAUACUCCGGAGUGUUGACGGUACCUCCAAAGGAAGUGCCGGCUAACUCCGUGCCAGCAGCCGCGGUAAUACGGAGGGCACAAGCGUUGUUCGGAAUUAUUGGGCGUAAAGCGCGUGUAGGCGGCUUGGUAAGUCGGAUGUGAAAGCCCGGGGCUCAACCCCGGAAUUGCAUACGAAACUGCCUCGCUAGAGUCUCGGAGAGGAGGGCGGAAUUCCCGGUGUAGAGGUGAAAUUCGUAGAUAUCGGGAGGAACACCAGUGGCGAAGGCGGCCCUCUGGACGAUGACUGACGCUGAGACGCGAAAGCGUGGGGAGCAAACAGG